GAUGAACGCUGACAGAAUGCUUAACACAUGCAAGUCAACUUGAACUUCGGUUUGGGUGGCGGACGGGUGAGUAACGCGUAAAGAACUUGCCUCACAGCUAGGGACAACAUUUGGAAACGAAUGCUAAUACCUGAUAUUAUGAUUAUAUGGCAUCGUAUAAUUAUGAAAGCUAUAUGCGCUGUGAGAGAGCUUUGCGUCCCAUUAGCUAGUUGGAGAGGUAACAGCUCACCAAGGCGAUGAUGGGUAGCCGGCCUGAGAGGGUGAUCGGCCACAAGGGGACUGAGACACGGCCCUUACUCCUACGGGAGGCAGCAGUGGGGAAUAUUGGACAAUGGACCGAGAGUCUGAUCCAGCAAUUCUGUGUGCACGAUGAAGUUUCUCGGAAUGUAAAGUGCUUUCAGUUGGGAAGAAAAAAAUGACGGUACCAACAGAAGAAGUGACGGCUAAAUACGU
This 453-nucleotide ribosomal RNA is filed under the name uncultured bacterium. RNAcentral describes it as "partial 16S ribosomal RNA". It matches the Rfam family "Bacterial small subunit ribosomal RNA", at positions 28 to 506 of the family's 1533-position model. The record is from RNAcentral.